GACGAACGCUGGCGGCGUGCUUAACACAUGCAAGUCGAACGGAAAGGCCCUGCUUUUGUGGGGUGCUCGAGUGGCGAACGGGUGAGUAACACGUGAGUAACCUGCCCUUGACUUUGGGAUAACUUCAGGAAACUGGGGCUAAUACCGGAUAGGAGCUCCUGCUGCAUGGUGGGGGUUGGAAAGUUUCGGCGGUUGGGGAUGGACUCGCGGAUUAUCAGCUUGUUGGUGGGGUAGUGGCUUACCAAGGCUUUGACGGGUAGCCGGCCUGAGAGGGUGACCGGCCACGUUGGGACUGAGAUACGGCCCAGACUCCUACGGGAGGCAGCAGUGGGAAAUAUUGCACAAUGGGCGGAAGCCUGAUGCAGCAGCGCCGCGUGCGGGAUGAUGGCCUUCGGGUUGUAAACCGCUUUCGCCUGUGACGAAGCGUGAGUGACGGUAAUGGGUAAAGAAGCACCGGCUAACUACGUG
This 468-nucleotide ribosomal RNA is filed under the name uncultured bacterium. RNAcentral's name for it is "partial 16S ribosomal RNA". It matches the Rfam family "Bacterial small subunit ribosomal RNA", at positions 28 to 507 of the family's 1533-position model. The record is from RNAcentral.